UCUGUCUCAGCCAUUACACCUAUGCUCUCUCUAUCUCAAGUCCCUCCCUCUUUCUUUGGCAUCUCUCAGCUUCUCCACCAUUCUGUAUGUUAUCCUCUCCAGCACCUCCCAACUCGUCAUUCUCUUUAGCGCCAACAGUUGCUGCUCUUUCACCAGCUAGAGAAGCUUCAUUUAUCUUGCUGACUUGCAUCCAUGGGAUGGACACCUUUGGCGAGGGCUUGGCUAAGCUGAUUGACAAGAGCUUUGGCGAGAGCGACCCUUGUAGAUCUGGGCAACGGCUGCUCGGGGCUCGAGCGCGAGGGCUUGUUCGAGCCAACACUUGCCCAG
RNAcentral lists this long non-coding RNA (327 nucleotides) under Eucalyptus grandis. RNAcentral's name for it is "long non-coding RNA (EGRA_LNC006474)". Lineage: Eukaryota; Viridiplantae; Streptophyta; Magnoliopsida; Myrtales; Myrtaceae. The record is from RNAcentral.